UAGGAGUGAGUGAAGGAAUGAUCAUCCCAGACUUCCAGGGAACAGCAGUGGCUAAGUUCAUUGAAGCUCUCUUAGAGGUGGAUCUUAUCCAACUGAGCAACGCUCUCUCUGACCCAGAAGUAAUUACUGUGGUGUCACGAGUUGGUGUUCUACCAUUCUUCUGCAAUGCCACAAUACGUGAUGUCAUUUUGGACUUACCUGGAAAAGGGAUCGACACCAGUCUUUUUGAAGAACCAUAUGUACUGUGGAGUGGAACAUAGCCGCUGAGGAGCUUUAUGCAUUUCUCUAUGGACCUCAAGUUGAGCAAUUGCUACGAGAGUUUACCAAUGCUUCCAACGGAUCAUUGAAGCCCUCAGACAUAGACUGGAAUACAGGGGCAGCCAUCUUGGAAACCUUCAUCAAGAACUUGGCCAACGUCACUGGGAUCGUGCAGGUUUAGGAGAACAGUUGGACAUCCAGGAGACGCUGGCAUACUUUGAGAAGCAGUGGAUUACCAAUUUGAUUGGUGUCUACCCAACCAAUGAAACAGACGUUUUAGAUGUUCUGGCCCGACAGCUUAGCAUGGUCUGGAUGCAGCUGGAUGAUUCUCUUGGUGAUAUUCCUGGAUGGGAUCAGUAUAGGACAAACGUCUAUAUCAUUCUAUCAGCCGUUUAACAGAUUGCCAGUGG
Strongylocentrotus purpuratus (purple sea urchin) is the source of this 668-nucleotide long non-coding RNA. RefSeq lists it as uncharacterized. The transcript has 4 exons. NCBI's taxonomy places the organism in Eukaryota, Metazoa, Echinodermata, Echinoidea, Camarodonta, Strongylocentrotidae. The record is from RefSeq and is a predicted model, not a curated record.